Molecule: long non-coding RNA, 946 nt
Filed under: Physcomitrium patens
Lineage: Eukaryota; Viridiplantae; Streptophyta; Bryopsida; Funariales; Funariaceae
Description: long non-coding RNA (PPAT_LNC010199)
Source: RNAcentral
AUCCAACCAUAAGUCAACUUAUCAUCGAACUGACAAUUCGUGUAAUUGACCUAAUUCAUCCAAGAUUCAUCCUAAAAAUUAAAGAAAAUUGGAAGUCGCCACCUUCCAAGUCAUGGCAGCAACCCCCUUGCACAAAGUCCACUACAAUGGUUGCAUCACUAACUUGUUUAUAACAAGCUUUGCUAUUUUAGAAAGUAGACUUACAAGCGCUUGUCCUCCAACAAAAUUCAAUGCAAAAAAAUAAUUAAGCUAAAAGAAAUCUUGCCUCAAAGUUGCCUAACUUUCUCGGCCUAGUCAGAGCACCCUUGGCCACAAAAACCCUUGCCCUUGCUCCAUUUCAGUUGUGCAAUGCAUAUGCUUUAGCAUUCCAGAAACUAGAAUUAAAGCCGCAUCACCUCCAACAAUUUUUUCUUGAAAAUCUUGAGUGAAUUCCAUGAUAUGACCUUCCAAAGUAGCUUGAGUUGGCGGAGUACUACAUCUUCACCACGGCCGACUUCUCUUCACUCCAACCACCAUAACUUCCUUGGCCUUUACUCAAUCUAAGUGUGCAAAUAGUCCUUGCAAAGCUGACAACAAGAACCAUCCACCAUAAAAGUUUCAGCUCCAAAUUCAAUACUGUCCGCCAAAAAUCGCCUUCCAAAGUUGGACCUCUAGAUCUGGCCGGCAGCUGACCUCCUUGUCACUAAAACCACCACAACUUUCUUGUUUUCUCUCCAAGCAAAGCGUGCCUACUGUCCCGAGGAAGCUAACGACAAGAUAUAACCAUUGGUAAAGUUUGACAUUCUAUUUCCAAAUAACUAAUACACUGCAACUGCGCAAUUGCAGCUCUGUAGAAACAAGGGUACGUGGAGAAGCAAUUUGGCAUGGCUUCGCCCCAAAGAAAAAGAGUGAGAGGGAGUGUGGCCACCCCUACCCUCUUAUCCAAGUAGGAAGAGACCAAAGGGUG